UUCAGGUCAAAAACUAAAACCAACAGCAGAGAAAGAAAAAAAAAAACAAAACAUUUCUCAAAAAAUAAAACCCAGCUCAUCCAAUCCCUCAGAUCUGAGAAACCAAUCCCGAGAGAUCUCUAGCCAAGUGAACCUCUGCCGCCGCUGGUAAAUCCUGCACCCAAAACCUGUCUUUCGGUAUCGACAUCCUUACUUUUGCUAACAUAUGAGCCACCAUAUUAGCUCGUCGAUCAACAUGGUGAAAGGAGAUGUGCUGAAAAGAGCUCGCUUUGAUAUUUAUUUCUUCAAUGUAAGUCCCCAUAUCUGAAAAAUCUGGUAGUACUUGGUUUAUUUUGACAAUUGCGGUCCUAGAAUCACCCUGCAUUUGAGCAUGAGAAAAACCCGUUUCCCUUGCGAAAUCCAAAGCUUGACAAGCUAUAGCUUCUACUGUAAAAGAAUUGGAGACAAAUUUAUUAAAAAUAGUUCCGCUUCUCAUAACCAAACCUUUACUAUUCCUGAUAACAAAACCAUAAUAAGAAUGGUGGAGGGUUAGUUUGAACCCAGCAUCAAAAUUCACCUUAACAAAAGGUUCUUGAGGGGGCUUCCAUAUAGAGUUCAUUGCAUUCACCGGAGUAGGUAUUUUAUCUUUCAACUCCCUUAUUUCCUUUAUAAUACUGAAAAUAAUAGAGUAAAUAUCUUGGACCGAUUGUCAUUUUCCUUCCAUUGUGCGCUUAUUGCGGGCUUGCCAGAGUGCCCAGGCCGUGGUUGCAGCAAUUUUACCAAAAUCAUGCCUUCAGUUUUGAAAAACUAAAUUAAGCCAGGUGUAGAAAUCCAUAUUUUCAUUAAAAUUUGACCAGUCAACACCGAUUGAUUGCCAAACAGUUUUUGCAAGGCCACACAUCAGAAGAGUAUGCAUAAAAUUCUCAGGGACCUCUCCACAGCUAGGGCAAAUUGGCGAUGAACUUAUUCUUCUAUUGUAGAGGUUAACUGCAGUAGGAAUAUACUCAUAUGUAAAUCGCCAAAUAGCAAUUCUGAUUUUUGGGGGAAGAUUUAAACCCCAAAUCUCCUUGUAAAUUCCUGUAUAGUUAGUAUUCGUAAUAUCGUUAAUAUACAAUUCAACAAGAUAGCAGUAACCACUACGUACCGUAUAGAUGCCAGAGUUAUCAACAGACCACACCAUUUUAUCUUUAGAACUAUAAACUGAAAGAGGAAUGCAACAGAUUGCAUGAACUUCCAUAAGGGUAAAACGAAUGCUAAUAAAAUCCACUUUCUAGGUCUUAGUUGAUUAAUCAAUAAGCUUUGACACUUUAUCAAUCCCACUGUUUGCAGAAGUAGCUUGAAUUUUCUCCCCGCCCAACGGGGCAACUAACAAUCUUGCAAAACUGAAAUUUGGGAUCCAGAUCCCACCCUCCAGCAAAUACCAUCUUCUAAGACUUUUUGGGCCGCAUAUAUACUUUUCUAGGUAUACGCGAGUUAUUGCCUAAAGUGGCAUUCCAAAACAAGGUAUGAGGGUAGUACUUUGCUUUAUAAAUACGUCCAAAUAACGAAUCUGGAUUAGUAACUAACUUCCAACCUUGUUUAGCGCAACGUUAAACUUGCCAAGAUCCCUGAAACCUAUUCCUCCACAAUUUUUAGGAAUACUAAGACUAGCCCAAUUACACCAAUGCAUUCCUUUACGAGUUGAGCUUUUUUGCCACCAGAAACGACUCAUAACACUCUCAAGUUUCAUACGAAACAUCUUUGGAAGCAAGAAACAAGACAUCGAAUAAGUAGGAAUUGCUUGAAGGAUAGUUUUAAUGAAGACUUCUUUUCCUCUUUGAGAUAGUAAUCUAGUCCCCCAGCUCUGAACUUUCAUUCUCAUUCUAUCACAAAUAUGUUGAAAAGCAUCCUUCUUUCUUCUCCCAACCAUAUUAGGAAGACCCAAAUAUCUUUCUAUACACGACGAACGACGAACCCCUAACAUCUGCACUAAUUGAUUAGAAGAAUUAUCAGAGACAUUGGAGCUAAAGAAAAUUUAUGACUUAUCAAGAUUUAUCUUCUGCCCCGAAGCAGAUUCAUACUUUCUCAAAAUAUCCAACAAAACCUGUCCUCCUUUCUCAUUUGCAUCACCAAAAAUAAUGCUAUCAUCAGCAAAAAAUAAAUGAGUGACAGUAAGACUUCCCUACAUACCCAUCUGAGCAGCAGAGUCGAGUAAAGUUGAAAAACCCUCAGUACAAAUUAGAAAAAGGUAAGGGCUUAAAGGAUCACCUUGACGUAGUCCCCUUUGAGGGGAAAAACUUUCACUUGAAAACCCAUUAAAGCUGACUGUGUAUGAAACUGAAGAUAUACAAUGCAUAAUCAAACUAAUCCACUCCAUCGCAAAACCCAUUUGUUUCAUCAUGCCUUCUAAAAAACCCCAUUCCACUCUAUCCUAAGCUUUGCUCAUAUCGAGCUUAAGAGCAAAUGAGCCCUUCUUCCCUUUACUCCUCCUCUUCAACACAUGUAAGACCUCAUAUGCCACAAGAACAUUAUCUAAAAUAAGUCUACCAGGCACAAACGCUCCUUAGGCAUGAUCAAUACACUGAACCAAAACCAUUUUCAAUCUAUUAGCAAUGGUCUUAGAAAUUAUUUUGUGUAAAACUGAACAUAGACUAAUAGGGCGAAAUAAAGACAUAUAUCCGCAUCACUUACUUUGGGAAUAAGAAUAAUGUUGGUAGAAUUUACCUCAUGAAUCGAGAUCUCCCUAUUAAGGACUUGUAAACAAUACUUUUGUUUUUUAAUCUAAUGCUUAUUUACUCAUUUUUUGAAUAAAAGGGAUAAGAUUCAAUUCAACUCCUAGUACAUGAGCUUUCCAUAAUAUGUCACAUUAGAUUUUAUAUUGUUUUUUUCAAAUAAAAUUUUUUUAGUUCCACCUUAGAAAUUACCUUCCAUGUCACCGUUUCACGGUAAUUUUUUAACAAAAUAGCCAAUUUAAGCUUUCUUCAAAUUUAUAGGAACUAAUUUGUUAUUUUUUAGUAAAUUAACUUUUGUUUUAGAAAAAAGAAACCUCCAUGAAACUUUUAUAAUAAGCAUGACAAAAAUCCCCUUAAAAAAAGAACUCCCUUCUCUUUAGAAACUUUUUCUUUCUUGUUGUGGUAGCUUUUUAAUUUAAAAAUUUGAAAUUAGCUUGAUGAAAUUUAGCAUGACGAAAUUUAGCAAAAUGUGAGUAUUUUUCACUUUGGAAAAAAAAUCAUGAGGGUUUUAUUUUAAAAUAGGAGUUGUCAAAUUUUUUUUGGUUAUGUGUGAUGAAUAAUCACCUAUAAAAUUAUAUUUUAUAAAAAGAAUUUUAAAUUUUUUAAAAAAUAUUUAUGACUGUAUUGAAGUGUAGGGAAAAAUUAAGUUAGAAAAUCCGUUAUGCAUACGGAAAGUUAUAGCAACCAUACUAUACUCAAAAUUGAUAUAUUUUUGAUUAUGUAUCGUUAGAAUUUUUAAAAAAUAAAAGUUCAAUAUUUUGAUAUUUAAUUAUAAUCCCUUAAAAUAUUAACUUAUGAUAAAAGGAUUUUCAUUUCUAGGCGAAUUCAAUUUUCAAUGUAAAAUAAUUUUUCCACAAAAAUAUUAAAAAUCCAUCUUUAUUCAAUAAAUAAAAUUUGUGACUUCACUCGUUUGAAAUAAGAUAUUCCAUGAUUAAUAAGCAUUUAUAAACUCUUAUAAUUGUCGUAAUGAAGGGAUCAUUGAUAAAUUAAUUGAAGGAUAUUAUUUUAAUAAAACAUGAAUAUGCAAGCGACAAAUACAACACAAUAACAAAGACCUCUUGUAGCUUUCAUAAUCACAAUCUACUCAAUUGAAUUUUUUUGGGUCAAAACUAGGGUAUUUAUCGCUCUGCUGUGGAUGCUUUCCAAAUAGAUAAAUAGUUGGUCAUGAAAUAUGCUCCCAUGGAUAAGAAUCAAACCCCCAACCUUAUAGUUAAAGGAAAAUGUGCUCAAUUAAAUAUUUCAAAAUUCUCAUACUGUAGAUAUUAAUAUUGAAACGAAAUUAAUUCUCAACGAUAGCACCUAAUUCUUAUAAGGCUCUUGAAAAAUGGGAGAGUUCAAUAUCAAAUAAAUCAUCAUUUAUUAUCAUAACAACAUAUUAGUAAUCAGGGGCAAAGCUAGAAAAUUUUUUUAGGGGUGAAAUUAAAUUGUAAUUUUUACGAUAGUAAACAAUACAAUUUCACCAUUUUAAUAGCCUAUACCUUUAUAAUUUUUAAUGGAUUAAAUAAAAAUUUUAAUAUUUUUAGGGGAGGCCAAAGUGCAAAUUUACCUUUACUAAUUUAAAAUUUUAAAGGGCCUAAAUAAAAAAUUUUUCAUUUUAGAGGGGAUCCCAACCGAGGCCCCUACUAGCCCUCUGGUUACACCUCUAUUAGUAAAAAAAAAUUAAUCUUCAAAUGAAACAAAACAUUUUCUAUAAAGAAAAAUAAUUUCUUAGAAGCAUUAAGAAAAAUCAAAGAGUAUCUAAUCUUGCUUCCCGGAGAAUGGACAUUGCAGAAAGUUGGUCUCCUACAAAGAUGAACUUUUUUGGGUGGGUUAUUGGGACACUCCUAAUAACCUAUGGGAAAGGGAGAUGGAACAAAUGAAAAUGAACUAAGAGGAAGAGGUUUUAAGGAAAUGAAGGAUGAAGAUAGUGUUGUCAAGGCCAACCUCUCAAAGGAAGAAAAGGAAGCUACAAUGACUAGAUUAAGAAAGACUUUAAUCAUUUAGGUGUUUGGUAAAACAACUGGCUUUAAAUAUGUAUCCUUCAAGUUAAGCCAAAUCUAGAGGCUUAGAGGAGAAAUAGAACUAAUAGAUCUGGGCAUGAUUUCUUCCUAAUAAAGAUUGGGAUCAGAAAAGAUUUCGAAAAUGUUAUAGAUGGAGGACUGUGUUUGUAAAAGGGAGGUUUCUCAUUAUACGAAGAUGGAAUCAAAAUCUUUGAGCCUUUGAAGCAACUUUUUGCUGGAAAGUUGUUACGACCCAUGGCGUAACGAGAAAUAUUUUGAGGAUUACACUCCAUGGAUUCAUGUGCGAGGAAUGAGUUAAGGUUGAAAGGAAGGUAUGAAAGUAUACCUAAAUUGAUUUGAAUAAAUAACAUAGAUGGCAAAAAAUGGUACCCUUAUAACUUUUGGAAAGACUCUCAAAAGCCUCUAUUGCUGCUAGGUGAAGAAUUUCUAGCAAGCAAGAAAGCAUAAUAGGGGAAAACAUAUUACAAUUUUCAUAUUCAAACAUUUCUUCUUUUGAAUUGGCAUAAAUUUGGCAAAAGGGAUUUCUGGAUCACAAAUAAAAUAUGUGAGACACUAUAACAACCCGUUUUUUCAGUGGUGUCAAGAACAGUAGUGGUUUUGGAACCACAAAUCUGAUGAGUAAGUUUGUAAAUAUUAUUAUUUAAUAUUUACAAGUCAAAUAUGGUUUUAAAAGGGUUUUUGAUAUGGUAAUUUAUGUUAUAUAAAUGAUUAAUUUAGUUAAGUGGUAAGACCUUAAAGUCAAGUAGUUUUAGAAAAUGAAGUAUUGGGACCUCGUUUCUAUCAACGGGGUAUUAUAAAGGUUGUAUUAAAGUUUUAUUAAGAAGUUUUAACAUUUCGAUAGUUAAUUAAUUAAAAAGGACUAAAUCGUAAAUGAUGUAAAAUUUGAUCACUAUUUGAUUUGAGUAAUUAAAUGGCUUAUUAAAUAAAGGUAAGUGGACUUGAAUGGUAAAUAAAUCAUUUUUAAAAGGUUUUGGUUGGUUAGUGGGGUUAUUUAGUUAAAAAUGUAACACCCCUAACCCGUAACCGUCCCUAAAAUAGGUUAAGAGGCAUUACCGGACUUGUAACUCAAUUCAGAACAAUCAUUUAUCAAAUGUCAUCUUAUUUCAGUAAAUAUCAUUCAUUCACAUUCAAUAUGUACUUAAAUCGAGCAUACAAAGUUUAAAUCAUGCAUUCGGGACUAAAUCGGUAGCAUAUGAAAAAUUUAGAAACUUAGAAAAAUUUCAACAUUUCAAGUAUCACACGCCCAUGUGAACAGGCGGUGUGCCUCACACGAUUAAUAGACAUGCCCGUGUCUUAGACCAUGUGGAAACAGGGCAUACAUAAUGACUUGUGUCACACGGCCAAGGACACGCCCAUGUGCCAGGCCAUGUGAAAACGGGAGAUGAUAUUGACUUGGGUCACACGGCCAACCGCACGCCCAUGUGUCUAGCCUGUGUGCCCUUCGAAACAGCCACACACACCCGUGUAUCAGGCCGUGCCAAAACUAUAGGGUAUACUGACUUAUCAACAUGGCCAAGUCACACGCCCGUGUGCUAGGCCGUGUGCCAUUUAGGGGGUAUACUGACUUGUACCACAUGGCUAGUCACACGCCUGUGUGUGAGGCCGUGUGGAGCAUACUGACUUCCAUAUCAUUUCAACACUAGGGGACACACGGCCGUGCAACAAGACCGUGUGUCACACACAGCUGAGACACACGCCCGUGUGGACAAACGUAGGCUAUUUGUAAAGCCAUAUUUUCCACCCUGUACAUAUAAGCAUUCACAAGCAUAAAUGACCACAUUUCAUAACUCAAUUGGCAAUCAUAAUAACCAUUUCAAUGCACAUUAUUUUCCAUAUCAAACCUAACAUUUACAUACCCAAUUACCUAAUUAACAUCAUGUAUAAUCCAUUCAUAUACCAAAUACAAAUCAAGAUGUCAUUUGCAUAUUUUCAUUCCAUCUAUUCUUUGCCAAAACAUACCAUAGUUGAACACUUAUACACAACCAAAGAUGAUACCAAAAUAAGCCAAAUCACAUGGCUUAGCUCAUACAAAAAUAUACCAAAAGCAUAAUUUUCAAGUGGCCAUUACUAACACCAUUUAAACUAGCCUAUACAUGCCAUGUUUACAUAUUUUCACAAGUUCAAAAGUACCAAUUAGAAAUUGGAUAGUGUGAUGUGCAACUCCGACUUGUCUGAAAUGAGCGAGCUAACAAGCCUAUAUAAAACAUAGAAAAAGAAAUAGAGUAAGCUUUAUAGCUUAGUAAACCCGUAUAAUUCAGAACUAAACUUACCAUUUAUACAUAAUCAAAGCAAUACUUAAAGUGCAAUAAAUUCAAUUAUCAAUCACCUAAUCACAAGUAUUCAUCACAUGUUAGUCAUUGUAAAAAUACAUGAAACCAUCUAUUAAUAGAAUACUUUGCACCAUUCUAAAUUCAUAUAUCAUAUAUAACAUUAAUAACAUUUAUAAUCGUAACUCGUCCAUAUAAACAGUAUUUGUGCCCGUUGAACCUAUUAGAAAUUUAAAGGAUACUCAGGUGAAUAACAUCAGUAAUUUGUCAAUUCAUUAUCAUUUAUGCUCUUUCGAGCCAUGAUCAGUAAGCUCCUCCUGAGUUGAUAAAUAGAAAGCUCUAUUAAGCUGAAAUUGUAAGCUCUAUCAGGCUGAACAGUAAGCACAUACGAGUUGAAACGGUAAGCUCUAAUGAGCUAAAAACAGUAAGCUCUUAUGAGUUGAUAUAUCGAUAAGCUCAUAUAUGCUGUGGUGAGUCCUCAACAAAUGCAGGAGCUCAACUAAAUCGGUAACCCUACUGACAUGUCACUCGUAUCCUACGAAUUCAUACGGUUUAAACAGGGCUCGGUAACAAAUAUAUUAUAUCAAUAAAACAUGCAUAUCUCAUGUAUAUCAAUUACUCAAUUAUACAUAUUUAUUUCAAUAAUUACAAGUAUUUUAAGUUCGAUUCUAAUUAUACGAACUUACCUCGUAUCCUCGUAUAAAACUAUAGACUAUUUGUCCACUUUUCGUUUUCCCCGAUCUAGUUCUGGUAUUUGCUUAUCUUGAUCUAUAUAAUAUCAAAUUAACUCAUUCAAACUUUCAUUCAAUUCAAUUUAGCCUAAAACAUUCAUUUUGGCUAAAUUACAAUUUUACCCUAGACUUUUGACUACUUUUCAAUUUAGUUCGUAACAUGUAAAAAUACAAAAUUACACAAUUAUGCCAUAACCCAUGGUAGCCUAAUUUCAUAGGAACUCCUAGCAGCCCAUAUCUUUUAUUAUUUUACACUUUUAACCACCACAUUUUACAAUUUCACAAUUUAAUCCCUAUUUUACAUUUUUGUCAAAAAUCACUUUACAAAACUAGUUUAACUAUCAUCAAGCUUCCAUAAUCUAUCAUUAAACAUCAAAGAACUCAAGUAUUCAACAAUAGAACUUCACAAAAUCAUGAAAAAAAUUCAAAAAUUAAGGCAUGGGCUAGCUAGAAUACAAAGCAAUGAUCUCAAAAACGUAGAAAUCAUUAAAAACUGAGCUCAAAACGCUUACCUAUUUAACCAUGAAAGUUUUGAAUGUUAAAACCCUAUAAUAGCUUUCUCUUCUCUUCAAUUUUGGCAAGAGAUGAAUGAAAAUAACAUGAUUUUGGUUUUUGUUUUAUUAUUAUUAUUAUUAUUAACUUAAUACAUAAAUUAUAUUAACCUUAUAAAUAUAACUUAUAAAUCACUUAAAUCAUGGACAUAAAUGUCCACUAACCUUAAUCAUGGUAUAAUAACAUUGUAAGGACCUUUGAUUUACUAAAUCAUAGCAACUAAACACCUUUAACAAUUAGAAUUCAACUUUUACACGAUUUAGUCAUUUUUACCAAAUUAAGCAUUUAAACGGUAAAAUUUUUUAACAAAAAAUUCAUAUAAUAAUUCUAUCAUGCUGUAAACUUUAGUAAAAUAAUAAAAUAAUAUUUUAACUUCGAAUUUGUGGUCCAAAAAACACUGUUCCAAUUCGACUCAAAAACGGGCUGUUAUAAAAAAAUGAUGUUUAUUAAAUUAUAAAAACAUUAUAUUAUGUUAUAAUGUUAAUAAAAUAAAAUAAAAGAUGAUGCAUUCAUCUUCUUCACCAUUUUUAGUUGAAACAAAAUGGGGGAGAAGCUCCAAGCUCCGAUUAAGCUUCAAUGGGUGCAUGUAAGCCCUUUUUCCACCCGUUUCUUUUAAUUUUUAUGUUUUUAAGAUCGUUGCAACUAGGUCUAGUUAGCCCGUACCUUUAAUUUUGAAACUGUUAAAGAUAUUGAAUGUUGCCAUUGAUGAAUCUAUGUGAUUUAAAUAUUAGAUGAUGAAUUUGAAGUAUUAGUUGUUAUUUAUGAGUAUUUUAUUAAGUGUUUUUUGACGAAUUUACCAACUAGGUACUAAAUUGUUGAAAUAGUAAUAGUUCAAGGACUUGAUGUGAAAUUGUUACAAAAAUAGACUAAAAUGGAAGUUAUGAAUAUUCGGCUGGUAUAAAUUUGCAAUAAAAAUGGUUAAUUUGCAUGUUUUAGGCUGAGAGACUAAAUUGAAUAAAAGUAAAAUGUUAGGGGUAAUUUUAUAGAAAUGUUAAAAAUUACUUUGUCAUUUCUGCAAUUUAGCCAAGUAAGUUUGUAUGCACUAUAAACACUUAAAUUUUGAUUAGAGUGAAUGUUUAAUGUGUUGUUUUAAUGUAAAUGAAUCAAUAUAUAUAUGUUAUUGUGCAAUUUAUCAUGUCAUGAAUGUAACACCCCAAUCCCGUAUCCGUCGCCGGAAUAGGUAAAGGGGCAUUACGGAAUUGAAACUCAUAUCAGAACAGUAAAUUUUUUUUUGAACAUUCCUUUAGAUAAGUACUAAAGACAGUCAGGGAUACAAUUUAAACUUCUAUAAGUACACAUUCAAAAGAUGCCAUUUUCGCAUGGCUUAUAUACAUUAACCAAAAUAUUCUUCGGCCACUGGUCUAUUCUAUACAUGCCAUAAAAUAAUUCAAAACAUAACAGUAACAAGCAGUGGAUAGUGAUAGUGUGACUAGUUGCUGACGAUCCCCUAGCCUGUAGCUUCGAAAUGAGAUCUAUAAAACAGAGGAAACAAAGUAAACGGAGUAAGCAUUACAAUGCUUAGUAAGUUUUAAGUAGUGUAAGUUUUAAGCAGUGUCAACAGAUAACAAUCAAAUUAUAACAUAGUUGUUCGUAUUUUUAUUUCACUUUUCCUUCGGGCAUACCAUCCCUUUACCGAAUAUGCACAUCUCAUCAUAUACAAUAGGCAGAUAAACUUUCACAUAAAAGUGAGCUCAUGUGACAUAGAUAUAUUGUAUAAUUUCACAUAACCUCUCACAUUGAUCCGAUGUCACAUAAUCAUAGGAAUAGUCUCAUAGAUUGCUCACGUAUGCAUCACAUAACUACCUUAUGAUUUAGUUCAAAUCAAGCUCACAUAUAAACUUGGAGUACAUACCUGUUUAACCUUUCGCAUUGAAUAUAUUUAUAAGCAAUUCUUAUUGCGAAGUCUUAUAGCUUUAACCUCUACUCGGAUUAUCGGCGAGACCUUUAGCUCAGAUGAAAUCUCCACACGAAGUCAGCGGGUCUUAACCCAGACAUAGUCACCACAUAUGGUUAUCUGGUCUUUAAUCCCAGGUUUACAUCAUAGAGUUUCAUGCAUAUUUAUUCACAUGUUACAACAUUCACAUCGACUAUCAUAUUUGUAAUUCAUUUACCUCAUCAAAAAUCUAAUAAAACACACCUUCCGCCGUCUGUCAUUUGGCCACAAUAUAUAUAUAUACACAUCUCAUACAUAUCUCACAUUAGCCAUUCGGCUUUACCUCAUAUCCAUCUCAUACACGUUUCGCAUUAGCCAUUCGACUUUACCUCAUAUCCAACUCAUACACGUUUCGCAUUAGCCAUUCGGCUUCGCCACAUAUAUACACUUCCACGUUCAUCACAUUGGCCAUUCUACCUUAUCACAUAUAUGCAUGUUCACAUUCAUCACAUUGGCCAUUCGGCCUUAUCACAUAUAUGCAUGUUCACAUUCAUCACAUUGGCCAUUCGGCCUUAUCACAUAUAUGCAUGUUCACAUUCAUCUCAUAAAAUCCUAAAUCAAAAUAUAAAUUUUCAUGUAUUCACAUCACAAUUAUCCAAAUAUACUUCACAUACCACAUAUACUUUCACGUAUACACUUUGUCUUGGUUGAAUCUACAUCUAUCAUUUUCCAAUGAAUAAUUCAAUUUCAUGCCAUACUAUUAUUUCAUAUUCGAAUACUUAUAAACUUACAAUUUCACAAAUUUUAAUAUCAAAGAUCCAUCUAACACUCAUAUAUCAUUUUACAAUAUCACAAUUUAGAAUUCACGUAUGGGUUUAAUCAAUAGCUUAUGAGCAACUAAAACAAGUUUUAUCCAUGUUUACAACAUAACCACAAAUUCUCUACAAGCUGUUUUUCCUGAGCAACAGUCGUUAAAUGAUUUGUAACUGGGGCUACAAAAUUCCAAAUUAUGUGCCGCUAAUUUUCCAUGAAAAUAGACUCGUAUAUCCUCUAUCCAAAAAAUUUUCAGAAUUUUUGGUUUGGCCAAUCAAUACCAGAUUUUUCUUAAAGUUUCCCCUAUUUUACUGCUUGACUACUCCGACUACUCUUCACUAAGAAUUUAAUUUCUCAUUGUACCGAAUUCAAAAUAUGUUUUCGUUUAUUUUGUUUGAAACUAGACUCAUUAAGGAGUCUAAGCAUAUAAUUUUAUCUUAUAAUCAUUUUUGUACGAUUUAUGAUGAUUUUCCAAAUACUGAACAGGGGAUUUUGGAGCCAUUCUGACUUUGUCUCACACAACCUUGAAAAUCUCAUUACCGUCAACCCCUUUGCUUACACGAUUUCUUUUAUACAAAACUAGACGUAUCAAUAUUUAAUUACAUAAUUUAUUCAGCCUUUAACUCAACUCCCACAAUUUAUGGUAAUUUUUCCAAAACACGCUACUGCUGCUGUCCCUAGCAGAUUUAUACAAUUUACUCUGUAAAGUUCUCAUUCACAUAUUUAAAACAUAAUAUCAUAUAUGCCGUCAUUUAGAAAAGUCAUUGACCUUAACGUAUAUACAUAACUCAUAUUCAUCCCAUUUUAAACCUUAAAACUUACAAAGGAAUCAAACUCAAUUACUUAAGAACUUACCAUUGAGUUUAAAACAUAUCAUCAUAUAUAAGUACUUCUUAUUAUCACAUACAAAUCAUAAUUUAAAUAUCACUUUUCUAAUAACCAAUCGGCUAAUGCUCAUAGAAGUAACUUAUUCCCUAUCAUUUUACUAUAGGUAAUUACACCAAUUCAUAGUCCCAUCUUUACCUGUAUUCCAUAUCGUUCUUCAUUAUAACUAAACUUAUAUGCUAGAAACUUACCUUAAGAGUUGUCGACGACUAUAAUUCUACGGCUAUUCGCUUAGUUUUGUCUUCCCUUUUUCCGACUUUUGUCCUUGAUGCUCUUGAGCUAAUGAUUAACAAAUUUACAAAUUAAAAAAAAUUCUACCAUGACGAUUAUAGCCGAAUAACAUAGACUAAGAAAUUAAUGUACAUAUAAAACGUAUACAUAUAUAAUUAGCUCAACCUUCAAUAAUUCAAUUUGCUAAUUAAAACAUAGAAAUUUAUAACCAAUUCAAAAUUCCUUAACAACGGCCGAAUAUCAAAAGGGCUAUCAAAGGACAUCAUCAACUAACUAACAAGCUUCAAUUGUAAUUCAAAACUUAAGUUCACAUUCGGCCAUUAUAAGCAAAACAACCAUUCAAAGCUCACUUCAAUUAUUUAACAAAUAAAACUAAUGUUUAAUACUAUCUCCCAAUUUGGUAUGAGUUACUGAAUGAAAUUAAACUCCUAAUUCAUGCACUAAAAUCACAUUCGGCACAAGCAAACUUCAUUUCAAUUAUGCCACUCUUAAACUUAUCCAUAAUACCCUAAGUUCAUUUAGUAGCUAGGCAACAAUUAUACAAAAACAACGAGCAUUUAACAACAAUGUACUUAACCAAUUCCUUAAGCAUACAUUUGGCAAUAUAUAUAUUAAUGACUAAAACACUUAGGCCAAUUCUAAAACAUCCACAAAUCUUCAUGCUUACAUGCCAUAACCGUAUGGUUCUUAUCACACUUGGACCACAAAAUGCAUAAAUUUCACAAAUUCUAAUUACUAUCAUAAGCUCAAUUUCGGCUAACACUCAAUUAAAUACUUACAAUUUAGCACUAAUUUAGCAUUUCAACAUAGCCGAUUUUCAUUAAGCAAUUAAGCUACAAACAUUUAAUUUUACCAAGCUCAACUCAUCUAUAAUCAACCCUCAAUACACUAAAGCAUCAAAAACAACAUCAAAGAAAUACAAACAUCCAUGACCGAAUGUCAUCUUCAUAACUUUACAAAAACAUUUGCCAUGAGCUAGCUUCUAUACUUGAUGACCACGCCAAAUAUACAAAGAUUUUCAAUGAAAGAGCAUUAACAUACCUUAAUCCACUUAAAGGUGACCAAAUGCCUUAACUUCAAUUUCUUCUUUUCUUUCUUUAGGUACGGCAAUGGAGGAAGAAAAAGAUGAACCAAAUUUGUUUUUAUCACCCAUUUCUUUUAAUAUAAGUUCAUAUUUCAUAUUAUUUAUUCAUUUAACAUUUAAUUUAUUAAUAUAAAAGGCAUAAAAUGUCCAUCAUCCACUAACCUUGCUGUCCACUAACUUAAGGAAGGAAUAUUUAACAUGCAAGUCCCCAUAUUUUAAACCAUACAAUAUUUGGCCACUACAAAUUAACCUAUCACAUUUUCAAGUUUCUCACAUAAGUCCUUUUUAAUAAUUCCACAUUCAAAUGACAAAAUUAAGACACGAUACUUUCACACAUGAAACUUUACAUAUAAUAAACAUAGAAAAGAAAAUUUAUAUAAUUUUGUGACUCGAUUUUGUGGUCCCGAAACCACUUUCCGACCAGGGUCAAAUUAGGGCUAUUACAAUAAAACGAUUGAAAUCCAACGACGUACGAUGAUUAUCGAGCCCUGUUUGAACUUUAGGAAUUUGUAGGGUACAAAUGACAUGUCAUUAGGGUUUACAUGUUUCGAGUGUUGUUCUUGAAUUUCACAGCUUGUGUGAGCAGACUCAUUUUAUAGCUCGUGUGAGCAACCAUGCAUAUGAAAGAAAUGAUUACGAUUAUAUGUUUAGCACACUUCGUGUGAGCUUUCCUGCAUAUCCGAUGAUAUUUUAAAUGGUUCAACGGGCAUAAAAAGUGUAACGCCCCGAAUUUGGGCCUAAAAGUAUUAGGUUUGAGCGGGGGUGCAGUUAGGAGACUACACAUAAAUAUUUAAUUGUGCAAGAAAGUAACAGAAAUAUGUAUCUGCUUUAGUGGUCAUGUGUUCUGGGAAGUGUCUGGGAAGUCAUGGGUUCAUGUCCUGGCUUCCACAAAAUUUUGGUUUUUAAGGAUAAAACCCCCAAAGGGUUAUAAAUAAAAUUUGGUAAAGUAUGACACAAAUGAGCUUGUGGUCCUGUGGUAAGUGGCGUGUGGUAGUUGCUUGAGGUCUAAGGUUCAAGUCAUGGCAAGGUAAAAAGAGUAUUUAUUUUGCUCUCUUACCAUGUGAGAAGCAGAAGCCGACUAGAACUCUGCAAGUAGGAUGUUUGAAUUAGUCAAUUGAGAAAUUCUAGGAGUAGAAUUGGGGAUGUGGAUAGAGAGUUGAUCGAUUGGAGUAAAUUUACGAGAAUUUUGAGGGAUUUCAAAUGGAAGGAGGAGUUGUGGUCGAAUAGGGCAUUGAUCACUCAGGAUUUCGGCUAUAGGUAAGUUGUGGUCACUUCAUUUCGGAUUUUUUUUGGCAAAUUGUGAUGCUUUUCACUCUUCACUUUGGAAGCCGAGCUUUAAUUUUCUUUUCGUACAUCUUUUGGUAGGGUGAUUCGAUUCUUCUUCCCUCCCUUUCUAGUCUGUCGAAUAGGCCUAUUACCCUAGCCAUUGUUUCAGUUUUGAAUAGGUACUUCUUAACUCCAUUUUGCCUUUUCUUUUUCCCUCACUCUACUCUUUUUUGGCCGAAAAACUCCUUUCUCUCUCUAACUCCAACAUUACCUUCUUAACCGAAUACCUCUAGCAUUUGUGGCCGCACUUUUUUUCCUCCCCUCUCAACCGUGCUAUUUUCUUCUGCUUAAACUGAAUAUCUCCUGUGUUACCUGGGCAGCGUCUGGAUUGGAGUUAAGGGUGAUUUUUGGUUAGUCUUUUCUUCUCUUAGGUUUGCGAUUUCCUCUUAUUCUAUGAGCCGAAUAUAUCCUACUCAUUCACCCUUAUUCUACCUUAUGGCUGGCACUUAACUCUGUGAUUGUCGAAUGUUGCUAGGGGCGCAAUCUCUAUAGCCAAAGGGUUAGGCCGAUUGUCCUUUCUUAGUGAGUAGUCCUAUUGAUUCGUGGAAGUACUUUAGGUAGUAUUUAUUUACAAGGGAUUAUAACUUUUGAAGAAUCUGUUAGAGUGUUCUCAAUACUUUGGUUUAGAUUUUCCACAAAUAUGACUAAUGGUGGAUCGUUGUGAAUCAUAGGUGCUUUGAUCUCGAAAGGGUGUGUAAGCAGUUUCGUAAUAGGUGUGUAAUCGUAUGCCUUGUUUUGAUAAUUGGCUAAAAAGCUAGAAAUGUGCGUGUUGUUUACUCUGCUAUGAUUGUAGAUCGGCAAAAUGCCGAAAAGCCAGAAAGAUGGCUUAUGAUGCCACACGAGCGUGCAAUCGCGCGUGUGGUGAACCGAGCUCACGGAACGUGGGCGUACGACGAGAAAGGCCACUAUGAGCGAAUUCGUGGGCUUAGGCCGUAGUGGGCCACUUGGACCAUGAAAUGGGCCGAAUAGGCCCAAUGGGCCUGUGGGCCCACUUGUGUCAAAUCAACUGCUAGGUGGAAUAUGGUUAGGCUUGUCAUGUCAUGUACAUGGCAUAGGUCGCUUUGGGCCACGUUGGGCCGUGUGGGCCCAUACGAAUAAAAUGUAUGUUAUGUGGUAAGUUUUGGACUAGGCUAUGUCGUUCGUAUAGCCGUGAUUAGUUUUGGGUUAAAUGGUCCGUAUGGGCCCGAUGGGCUCGUGGGCCCGCGUGGGUAAAUUUCGCUAUUAAGCGAGAAGUAGAUAGACUUGUCAUGUCGCGCACAUGACUUAGGUUGUUUUGGGCCUCGAUGGGCCGAAAUGGGUCGUGUGAACCCAAUGGGCUCGUGGGCCCACACUGAUAAGAUCUGCGGUAAGUGACUAAUAAUAAACUGGGCUAUGGUGUACACAUAGUCGUAUCUAAAUUUGGGCUAAACGGGCCACAUGAGUGUGUAGGCCCACUCGGGUCGAGUAAUGGGCCUUAGGCCCACUUGCACCGUUAUGUCUGUUUAGGUUACUUUAAGUUACUUGAGGCGACGGUGGACCAUUUGUUGGGUCGUUAAGACCCCGAUUUGUGAAAUGACUGAAAUACCCCGAGUUAUAAAAUUACCAAAAUACCUUUGAUUUAUAAAAUAACUGUAUUACCCCUGUAGGGUAAAAUGACCGUAAUGCCCUUAUAGGGUAAAAUGACUAUAAUGCCCUUGUAGGGUAAAAUGACCGUAAUACCCCUGUAGGGUAAAAUGACCGUAAUGUCCCUGUAGGGUAAAAUGACAAUUAUGCCAUUGUGUUCUGUAUGACUGAUGUGCUUAUGAUUUACAUAUAUGAUUGUACUGAGUAUGAUUUUGCCUACACGUAAUAUUCAUGACAUGACAUACUGCAUGGGGUUGGGAUUUUGAUAUGAAGGAAGUACUGUACUGGUGACUAUGUCACAUUCACUGUUACUAGUGGCUUUGCCCCAUUUACUGUUUCUGGCAGCUAUGCUGCAUUAUUAUUACUGGCAGCGUUGUUACGAUAUCAGUGUGCUGGGUGGGUGAGUUGAUUUAUAUCCUAACAUGGUGUGUUGGUUGGUACGGGUGGUGUGCUGGCUAGAUUUGGGUGGGAUGCAUAAUUGCAUUACACUGUACUGAUACUGUAUUGGGCUUAGGCCCACACUGUUACUGUAUAGGGUUAAGACCAGACUGUACUAUUACUGAAUAGGGCUUAGACCCAGACUGUUCUGCAUGCAUUGUUUACUAUUUGACUAAUAGGGGAUUACACAUUGAGUUUUCGUAAACUCACCCUCUCUUUUAACUGAGUAGGUAAUUGUGACACCCCUAAUUUGGCCCUAUUCGAAAAGUGGUUUCGGGACCACAAAAUCGAGUCAUAAAAAUAACUAGCCAUCAUAUUUUAUGUUUAUUAUAUGUGAAUAUGAAUGUGUGAAAGUUUUAAGCUUCGAUUUAGUAAUUUGCAUGUGAAUUUAGUUAAUAGGACUUAUGUGUGACAUUUUUGAAAUGUGAUAGGUUAAUCUAUAAGGGUCUAUUAAAGCAUGUAUUGAAAAUAAUGGUUUUGCAUGUCAAAUUCCCCCCUUUAGAGGAAGUGGCCGGCCAUGAUGGUAUGGGAUACAAAAUAUAUGCCUUUUAUAUUAAUAAAUUAAAUGUUAAAUGAAUAAAUAAUAUGAAAUAUGAACUUAUAUUAAAAGAAAUGGGUGAUAAAAACAAAGUUGGUUCAUCUUUUUCUUCCUCCAUUGCCGUACCUAAAGAAAGAAAAGAAGAAAUUGAAGUUAAGGCAUUUGGUCACCUUUAAGUGGAUUAAGGUAUGUUAAUGCUCUAUCAUUGAAAAUCUUUGUAUAUUUGGAGUGGCCAUCAAGUAUAGAAGCUAGCUCAUGGCAAAUGUUUUUGUAAAGUUAUGAAGAUGACAUUCGGUCAUGGAUGUUUGUAUUUCUUUGAUGUCGUUUUUGAUGCUUUAGGGUAUUGAGGGUUGAUUAUAGAUGAGUUGAGCUUGGUAAAAUUAAAUGUUUGUGGCUAAAUUGCUUAAUGACAAUCGGCUAUGUUGAAAUGCUAAAUUAGUGCUAAAUUGUAAGUAUUUAAAUGAGUGUUAGCCGAAAUUGAGCCUAUGAUAUUAAUUAGAAUUUGUGAAAUUUAUGCAUUUUGUGGUCCAAGUGUGAUAAGAACCAUACGAUUAUGGCAUGUAAGCAUGAAGAUUUGUGGAUGAUUUAGAAUUGGCCUAAGUGUUUUAGUCAUUAAUAUAUAUGUAUAUUGCCGAAUGUAUGCUUAAGGAAUUGGUUAAGUACAUUGUUGUUAAAUGCUUGUUGUUUUUGUAUAAUUGUUGCCUAGCUACUAAAUGAACUUAGGGUAUUAUGGAUAAGUUUAAGAGUGGCAUAAUUGAAAUGAAGUUUGCUUGGGCCAAAUGUGAACCUAAGUUUUGAAUUACAAUUGAUGCUUGUUAGUUAGUUGAUGAUGUCCUUUGAUAGCCCUUUUGAUAUUCGGCCAUUGUUAAGGAAUUUUGAAUUGGUUAUAAAUUUCUAUGUUUUAAUUAGCAAAUUGAAUUAUUGAAGGUUGAGCUAAUUAUAUAUGUAUACGUUUUAUAUGUACAUUAAUUUCUUAGUCUAUGUUAUUCGGCUAUAAUCGUCAUGGUAGAAUUUUUUUUUAAUUUGUAAAUUUGUUAAUCAUUAGCUCAAGAGCAUCAAGGACAAAAGUCGGAAAAAGGGACGACAAAACUAAGCGAAUAGCCGUAGAAUUAUAGUCGUCGACAACUUUUAAGGUAAGUUUCUAGCAUAUAAGUUUAGUUAUAAUGAAGAAUGAUAUGGAAAACGGCAUAAAUGAUAUUAUGUUUUAAAUAUGUGAAUGAGAACUUUACAGAGUAAAUUGUAUAAAUCUGCAAGGGACAGCAGCAGUAGCGUGUUUUGGAAAAAUUACCAUAAAUUGUGGGAGUUGAGUUAAAGGCUGAAUAAAAUAUGUAAUCAAAGCUUAUUUAGUCUAGUUUCUUAUAAAAGAGACUGUGGAAGCAAAGAAAUCUCCUAUAAAGAGAUAUUUAAAGUUGUGUGGGACAGUGUCAGAAUGACUCUGAAAUCCCCUGUUCUGUUUUUUGAAAAUCAUUAUAAUUUGUACAAAAAUGGUUAUAAGAUAAGAUUUAUAUUCUUAGACUCCUUAAUGAGUCUAGUUUCAAAUUAAAUCAAAUAGAACACAUUAUGAAUUCUGUACAAUGAAAAAUUUGAUUCGUAGUGAAGAGUGGUCAGAUUAGUCAAAUAGUGAAAUAGGGGAAACUUUAAGAAAAAUCUGGUAUUGAGUGGCCAAACCUAAAAUUCUGGAAAUUUUAUGGAUGGAAAAUAUACGAGUCUAUAUUCAGGGAAAAUUAACGGAAAGUGAUUUGGAGUUUUGUAGCUCCAAUUAUAAAUAAUUUAGUGACUAUUGCUCAGGAAAACAGGUCGUAGUGAAAAUGUGAUUUUGUUGUAAACAUGGAUAAAACUUGUUUUAGUUGCUCAUAAGCUAUUGAUUAAACCCAUACGUGAAUUCUAAAUCGUGAUAUCGUAAAACGAUAUAUGAGUGUUAGACGGAUCUUUGAUAUUAAAAUUUUUGAAAUUGUAAGUUAUGAGUAUUCGAAUAUGAAAUGAUAGUAUGGUGUGAAAUUGAAUUAUUCAUUGGAAAAUGAUUGAUGUAGAUUCGGCCAAGACAAAGUGUAUACAUGAUAGUAUAUGUGGAAUGUGAAAGUAUAUAUAUAUGUGAUAAGGCCUAAUGGCCGAUGUGAUGAAUGUGAAAGUGUAUAUAUGUGAUAAGGCCUAAUAGCCGAUGUGAUGAAUGUGAAAGUGUAUAUAUAUGUGAUAAGGCCUAAUGGCCGAUGUGAUGAAUGUGAAAGUGUAUAUAUGUGAUAAGGCCUAAUAGCCGAUGUGAUGAAUGUGAAAGUGUAUAUAUGUGAUAAGGCCGAAUGGCCGAUGUGAUGAAUGUGAAAGUGUAUAUAUGUGAUAAGGCCUAAUAGCCGAUGUGAUGAAUGUGAAAGUAUAUAUAUAUGUGAUAAGGCCUAAUGGCCGAUGUGAUGAAUGUGAAAGUGUAUAUAUGUGAUAAGGCCGAAUGGCCGAUGUGAUGAAUGUGAAAGUGUAUUUAUGUGAUAAGGCCGAAUGGCCAAUGUGAUGAAUGUGAAAGUGUAUAUAUAUGUGAUAAGGCCUAAUGGCCGAUGUGAUGAAUGUGAAGGUGUAUAUAUGUGAUAAGGCCUAAUAGCCGAUGUGAUGAAUGUGAAAGUGUAUAUAUGUGACAGGGCCGAGUGGCCAACGUGAUGGACGUGAAAGUGUAUAAAUGUGAUAAGUCCCGAAGGGCAUUUGUGUUAGUACUACAUCCGGGUUAAAACCCCGCAGGCUUUAUGCGAGAAUAUUAUCACUGAUUAAUGUCCGUAGGCUUCGUGCUUGUACUAUAUCCGAGCUCUAAAGACCCGAUAACUUCGUGUGGAGAUUACGUCCGAGCUAAAGGUCUCACCGAUAAUCCGAGUAGAGGUUAAAGCUAUAUGACUUCGUAAUAAGAAUUGCUUAUAAAUAUAUUCAAUGCGAAAGGUUAAACAGGUAUGUACUCCAAGUUUAUAUGUGAGCUUGAUUUGCACUAAAUCAUAAGGUAGUUAUGUGAUGCAUACGAGAGCAAUCUAUGAGACUAUUCCUAUGAUUAUGUGACAUCGGAUCAGUGUGAGAGGUUAUGUGAAAUCAUACGAUAUAUCUAUGUCACAUGAGCUCACUUUUAUGUGAAAGUUUAUCUGCCUAUUGUAUAUGAUGAGAUGUGCAUAUUCGGUAAAGGGAUGGUAUGCCCGAAGGAAGAGUGAAAUAAAAAUACGAACAACUAUGUUAUAAUUUGAUUGUUAUCUGUUGACACUGCUUAAAACUUACUAAGCAUUGUAAUGCUUACUCCGUUUACUCUGUUUCCUCUGUUUUAUAGAUCUCAUUGCGAAGCUACAGGCUCGGGGAUCAUCAGCAACUAGUCACACUAUCACUAUCCAUUGUUUGGUACUGCUACGUUUUGGAUUAUCUUAUGGCAUGUAUAGAAUAGACUAGUAGUGAGAGGAUAUUUUGGUUAAUGUAUAUAAGCCAUGCGAAAAUGGCAUCUUUUGAAUGUUUACUUAGAGAAGUUUAAAUUUUAUCCUUGGCUGUGCUUAGUACUUAUUUAAAUGAAUGAUCUUUAUUUCAAGAAAAAGUUCAAAAUUUUACUGUUCUGACAUGAGUUACAAGUCCGGUAAUGCCCCUUACCUAUUCCGGCGACGGUUACGGGAUAGGGGUGUUACAGUAAUCCUCAGCCAUAGACGGUUUGGAGCUGCGAGGGACUCAGAGGUGGCCACAUAAUUGCGGAUGCUCUACUUUUGACUUUAUUUAUUUAAAUUUCGUAUUGGGUUUUUGAUUAUGUAAUAAGGCCAUUUUUGGUUUGAACUUUUAUUUGGGCUUUGAUUUCUUACCUUAAACUACUAGACUAGGAAAAGAUGAGUUUUCAAAAUAAUAACUGUUUUUAAGGAAAACACGCAUUUUAAACUUCAAGGUUUUUAAAAGCUUCUGCGACUUUAUUUAGUUUAAGGAAUAAACGAUGAUAAAUAUGGUAAUCCUUCUGACAAAUUGUUUUCAAUUAGUAACAACUUAAUUUGCCAAACUUUCACAGGCAAUGAAAACUAAAAGGGUUUUAACUUAAAUUGGGAUUCUUAACGACAAGUCCUAUUUUUGAAAAGUACUUUGAUGUGACACACCAUAUUCGUCCAUAAUGUCUAGGCCGAGUUUGGGGUGUUAUAAAAAGGAAAGAAACGGUAAAUGUUGAAAUAAACUAUAUCAUGUAUUUAUGAAAAUGAUUGAUAAGGUAAGCUUUCGCUUGACAUUAUGCACAUGUUCAUAGAAAGGUUAAAUGAUUCAAACGAAAUAUGUUCACAUGGAAAUGGAUCGUCAUAUGUUUAAUUCAAGUGAAUUAUGUAUGUAUGCACUAACUUGUGUAUUGAUGAUGAUGUUUAGGCUUGUUCCAAGCUUGUGAUUGGAUUAUAUCAUGCUUAAUCUUAAUGAAAUCCAUUGAAAUGGUAAGUGUUCAAUUGGUAACAUGCUUAUGUUCAUGAAAAGGUGGAAUAAAUCAAAGUAUGUAAUUUCUUAUGAAAUGGUUUAUCAUGUAGUUGAUUCCAAAAGAGCUAUGUUUAAAGGCAUUAGUUUGUAGUCAUGGUUGAUGUUAUGUUUAUGUCUUGUGUUUUAUGCAUAUGAAACGGGUGAGGAAAGGUAAUGAAAUGGUAAGUGCAUAGUUGAAUUUUCAUAUGAUGAAAAAGGGGAUUGAAGAGUUGAAUGAUUUAUUUAUAUGAGAAACUUACGUAUGCUAUGGAUGAAUUUACCUAGUUCAUGAACGAAUAUAAUAAAUUAUGAGUUGAUGUUAUAUAGUUGUUAAAUCUUGAGGCAUUGGUAUAGGUUUAUAAUUAACCUAUAAAGUUCAUUAUUGAAAUAAAAUGUUAUGUUUAAAGUUUAUAUGAGCUUACUAAGCAUUCAUUGCUUACGUAGUUAUUUUCCUUUACUUUAUAGAUUAUCAGAAGCUCGAUCGGGUUGGAAGAUCGUCAGAGAACUAUCACACUAUGCAGUGAUUAUAUUGGUAGAUUUUGAUGUCUUGAUCAAGGUUAUAAUGGCAUGUAUAGGUGGACUUGUGUUUUAUGUUAGUUGAUGAGUUUGACAUGUAUAUGUCAUUUUGGUUGAUGUAACCUUGGUAUCUUUAAUGCCUAUUUGGUUUGUGUUCUUUUGAUAAGAUGUUAAUGCAUGUUUGAAUAGCCAAAAUGAUAGGUGAUGAUUUGAUUUCAAUAAGGUCAA
This 22187-nucleotide long non-coding RNA is filed under the name Gossypium barbadense (sea-island cotton). RNAcentral's name for it is "long non-coding RNA (GBAR_LNC012593)". The record is from RNAcentral. Lineage: Eukaryota; Viridiplantae; Streptophyta; Magnoliopsida; Malvales; Malvaceae.